RNAcentral lists this ribosomal RNA (253 nucleotides) under uncultured bacterium. RNAcentral describes it as "partial 16S ribosomal RNA". It matches the Rfam family "Bacterial small subunit ribosomal RNA", at positions 524 to 776 of the family's 1533-position model. The record is from RNAcentral.
UACGUAGGGGGCGAGCGUUGUCCGGAAUUACUGGGCGUAAAGAGCGUGUAGGCGGGUGCUUAAGUCAGGUGUGAAAGACCGGGGCUCAACUCCGGGGUUGCACUUGAAACUGGGCAUCUUGAGGGCAGGAGAGGAAAGCGGAAUUCCUGGUGUAGCGGUGAAAUGCGUAGAUAUCAGGAGGAACACCGGUGGCGAAGGCGGCUUUCUGGACUGACCCUGACGCUGAGACGCGAAAGCGUGGGGAGCAAACAGG